UACAGAGGGUGCGAGCGUUAAUCGGAAUUACUGGGCGUAAAGCGCACGUAGGCGGCUUGGUAUGUCGGGUGUGAAAUCCCCGGGCUCAACCUGGGAACUGCAUCCGAAACUGCCUUGCUCGAGUAUGGGAGAGGGAAGUGGAAUUUCCGGUGUAGCGGUGAAAUGCGUAGAUAUCUGGAGGAACACCGGUGGCGAAGGCGGCAUCCUGGACCAUGACUGAUGCUGAGGAGCGAAAGCCAGGGGAGCAAACGGG
This 253-nucleotide ribosomal RNA is filed under the name uncultured bacterium. Its description in RNAcentral is "partial 16S ribosomal RNA". It matches the Rfam family "Bacterial small subunit ribosomal RNA", at positions 524 to 776 of the family's 1533-position model. The record is from RNAcentral.